UACGGAAGGCAGCAGUGGGGAAUAUUGCACAAUGGGCGAAAGCCUGAUGCAGCUAUGCCGCGUGUAUGAAGAAGGCCUUAGGGUUGUAAAGUACUUUCAUCGGGGAGGAAAAACAAAACUAAUAAUUUUAUUUCUUGACGUUACCCGAAAAAGAAGCACCGGCUAACUCCGUGCCAGCAGCCGCGGUAAUACGGAGGGUGCUAGCGUUAAUCAGAAUUACUGGGCGUAAAGAGCACGUAGGUGGUUUUUUUAAGUCAGAUGUGAAAUCCCUGGGCUUAACCUAGGAACUGCAUUUUGAAACUGAAAUACUAGAGUAUCGUAGAGGGAGGUAGAAUUCUAGGUGUAGCGGUGAAAUGCGUAGAUAUCUGGAGGAAUACCUGUGGCGAAAGCGGCCUCCUAAACGAAUACUGACACUGAGGUGCGAAAGCGUGGGAAGCAAACAGGGAUUAGAUACC
This 455-nucleotide ribosomal RNA is filed under the name uncultured bacterium. RNAcentral describes it as "bacterial SSU rRNA". It matches the Rfam family "Bacterial small subunit ribosomal RNA", at positions 340 to 786 of the family's 1533-position model. The record is from RNAcentral.